AACGAACGCUGGCGGCAUGCCUAACACAUGCAAGUCGAACGAGACCUUCGGGUCUGGUGGCGCACGGGUUCGUAACGCGUGGGAACCUGCCCUUAGGUUCGGAAUUGCUCCCCGAAAGGGGUCCUAAUACCUGAUAAUGUCUCCGGACCAAAGAUUUAUCGCCUUUGGUUGGGCCCGCGUUUUUUUAGGUAGUUGGUAGGGUAAAAGCGUACCACGGCGUUGAUCCAUAGGUGGUCUGAGAGGAUGAUCAGGCACACUGGGAAUGAGCCACGCCCCAGCGGCAGGCGGGAGGGGGCAGUGGGGCAUAAUGGACGAUGGGCGAAAGCAUGAACGCGCCGUGCGGGGUGAGGGAUGACGGCUUUAGGGUUGUAAAGCCUAUUGACCAGGGAUGAUAAUGCGGGACCCAGGAAAAAAGGCCCCGGCUAACUCCGUG
This 433-nucleotide ribosomal RNA is filed under the name uncultured bacterium. Its description in RNAcentral is "partial 16S ribosomal RNA". It matches the Rfam family "Bacterial small subunit ribosomal RNA", at positions 29 to 507 of the family's 1533-position model. The record is from RNAcentral.